UUAAUGGGUGACGACAUUUUUUCCAGGUGGUGUAAUGAAAGCCAACAAGUUCCUACUCGACUCAGUGCCUGUCAAAUUCAAACAGCAGGUGUGAGUAAAAAGCAUUUCUAAUACAGACAGCUGGUGUUCUUGUAAAUUCUCAAACAGGCAAAUAAAAUAGAAACUAAGAGAAAUCACCACCUUGUCUGAGAAAUGUAUCUGUAGCUGAAACAAAGUGACACAGUUCUGUUCACACAGUAGUAGAGGAAAUAAUUUCUUCAUUAUUGCUUCAAACGCAAAACGGACAUGGGGAAAAGGGAACGGGGAAAACAGAUUUCAGAGCUUUCUGGGUUUAUGGUAGUUUAAAUAGAGAUUUCUGCAAUCUCUCGCCUUAAACUUCUCAGUGGCUUUGAACAUCAGUCUCUUCCUUUAGAAACCGAAACACAGCAUUGCAAUCCUCACUGGGGACAGCCACUGGGUAUUUUAAACCUACAGAGCAAAUGUCACAGCAGCUAAAGACCCAGCAGCUGUGACGCAAGAGAGAACGUCUCAUUGUGCAACGACUAUAAAGCUCCAUUCUACAACGCUGAGACUUUGCUCUGAUGGAAUUGUUUGUUUGACUAAGGCUUAGUCAAACAGGCAGGCCUGAGCUCUAUAUACUCCAUAGAUGUGUAUGCCCAAAGGUGUAUGUGCACUUGUGGGGUUUGGUAUAAGGAUCUUCUUUAAAACAACUUAGCUAAAAUGACACAAACCCCUACACAAUCUGCACUCAGUUGAAACUUGGAUUUUACUAUUUCCCUUAAUUAAAUCCAUACUGUUAAUAACAAGCAAUUCACUAAAAUAAUGGAUCUGGAGUAAACUCUUCCUAUCAGUUCUUUGCUAGCUGUAGUGUUCCUAAUGCAGCAGUACACACACUGAUGGGGAAGCAGAAGUCAGCAACUUCAUUGCUCAAAUGGCAAUGAUCUCUGCUUCUCCUCCACAGGCCCAUGUGUCUUUUAUUUCAAUUUACAACAGUAAGUCUCAGCAGAGAAAGCCUCCCAUGGAUUAACAACCAGUUUGGGUCCUUUGGGCUGCCUCUUGUAUCCACAAUCCUUCCCGCCCAGUUAUUAAUCUCCAGGAAAUGCCUUGCACUCAUACAUGGCUGCAUGGGAAUGCAAUAAAAGCACACACACAUUUGCUACGUGUUUGCUAACUGCUGAAAAGCAGCAAAAAAAUGGUGAUCCUUUUUUUUUCUUUUGAAGCAUCACGAUUUCCUGGUAAAGGUAAUUGAUAAUGAAAUCUUAGCACAGAAAACUUUAACCCAGGCUCUGCCAGUCUGGCAAGAACCACUAAGAGGAAGGAUUUCUAUUGAUUUUUAAGAAAAAAGCUCCUGCAUGUUGUACUUUAAACCCAGAUGAGGGCUGACAAAGAAUUUGCUGUUACCUGGACUUUGCCAGCCACCUUCCUUUGUGGCAGAGGAAUGCUGUGGCACAGGAGCAGGACAAGGUAAACUACACAGCAGCAUUUAGAGGGGGAGGCUUCUCCUGUAGAUCACCUUCAUGCUGUCUCUACCCUCCUGACUGGCCUUUAGUCCCCGUGUGCAACUCUCAUCUUCUUCUUCUUUCCCUUUUAGCUGCUUUCUUGCCUAGUUCACCUUCUAGAUACACUUUUUUUCCUGAACAGCCUGCACAAAUGACAUCAUCCCUUUAGCAUAUUUCAUGGUCUCCAUGUGUCUAAAAACAAACAAGGAAGCAGUACAGCAAUCCAGAUAAAGUGGAAAGAAGCCUGGCAGGCCCCUCCUUGCUGGCUACAGAAAACCAUAAUCCAGGAAAGAUUCUGAAGCAUUUUCACAGGCUUUCUCCAACUAAUGUUUUUGUCAAGAGAAACAUGCAAACUAUUGGUGGACUUGUAAACAAAUGCUCUAUUUUUGAACUGAAAAUGUCAACAUCAACAUGACCUAAGCAAGCUGAAACAACUUACCAGAGCUUUGCAGUUUCAACUUCCCGAUUCCUCUUUCACAAAUUCUACCGUGGAGACACCAGACCUGCACGAUUUCCUCAGCAGCAUGGACAACUAUCACUAGGUGUCAGGCCUCUGCAGAUUUUAUCCAAAGAAACAGUUUGCCAUGACCUUUGGCAGGGACACAUCACACGGACGCUUCCUUGACACGUGGGCAAAAAAUGACAACAGUGUUGAUGCAAGGAAUAAUCCUGAGAAGCAGCUCAUGGUCAGGCCCUGGAAUAGCAGGCAUUCGAAAUACUCUGCAGGAUCAUGGCCCAAACGUAUUUCAUCCCUUUAUACCCAUGAUCCAUAUAUGCUUGUUGUACACAGAUGAGAGUUGUUUGGGUGGGGGUUUUUUUUGUUAGCUCUGUUUUUUUUAUGACAAUAUGCUGUUGAAUCUCUAUCCAUCCAUUCCUCAAACCAGCAGAGAUAGGAAGAAACCAGUGCUGAGGUGCCCUCAAAGGCCAUUAACAUUCAUAUGCAAAAUACUACAUAAUGUCCUUUCAUUUCAGCACAUUAUGAGUGAAGCAAUAACAAAGGGUAAGGAGUAGGUCUUUAUGUGUCUCUAAGACUUCUAUCUGCUUCCGUUUCCCAUUGUUUCUGCUCUCAUAUAAAUUAACUAACUGGGAUGUGCAGAUUGCUCACUAAGCUGCUGUCAUUGUGAGGGGUAUCCUGCAUUUAUCCAACUCCCAGCAACAGCUUACAAAUUAGCAAGGCUAUGACUUACUAAACAGGUUUGCAUCUGAAGCCAAGAAGAUUAUGUAAACUUGUACAGGUUUUCCAUACCUUGGAAAGAACACAACACACACCGAAUAAAAUAUGCUACGCACCUUCCCUCUACUAAAAGGAACUAUUCCUGUGUCCAUUUUCAAUAAAACUCCAUGAAGAUAAAAAGCAUUAUCCUUAUUUUCUCUACUGCUUUGACCUUUUUGCUGCAGUUCCCACCUAAUCUUUCACUGAUGCUCCUGUUUUAAUAUUAAAAACUCAGAAAUUAAAAGAAAAAAAAAGGCCACACCAAAAUGAACACCUGAGGAUAAAAAUACUGUUUCUUCAAGUGCUAAGCCAUUUAAGAAGUAUCCCCCACCAUGGUUUUUAAAUGUUCUAGUUAGCUAAUCACUUUCUUCUGUUGCUGCUAUUAACAGACAUGGCAGCAGUUGUAGACAGCCCAGUGUUAACAGAUAUUCCUACAGUAUCAGCAGUAUAGCAAAGUUUGCCAACUUAACCCACAUUACGAGUAGCAUUAAUGACAGCAGACAUUGGUUAAUAUGCACAAUAGUUUAUAGAUUCAGAUUUCUCACUAAGGCGCUAGAGCUUGGAGAGGCCGUGCUCUUUAGGUGCAGGCUACUGCUUUAGUCUUGUUUCUUAAAGAAAAGGGACUUGUAUGUCCUUAUCUGUCUCUCAUCCCAUUCAACAGCUCUUGAACUGAACAACUAGUUUUGACCACAUAGAACCCUAAAAGGAAAAUUACAUUUCUGCCAGUUUUGUGAAUGUAAGGAAGCAUUCGGAUAGGAAGGGCCGGUGAGCGUCCUGAGGGAAGGCCAGGCAUGCCCUGCAGCAGGCCUUGCAUAUUGUUAGACAUCAGAGAAAUCCCACGAGGGAGCAAGAGACAACUCAAACGUCUCAGUAACUGGGAAAAAAACCUCAUUGCGAGUUUACGACCAACCACAAGACAUGAAUCUGCACGGAGGCAGGUUUUGCCAGUUCUGGUGCUCUCAGAACUACUCAUUUCAUUGAGAGAGGACGACUCACAAAACAACCAAGACAAUUACAUAGCAAGGCUGCACAAUAAUGGCAUAUUUCAAACUGUGACAUGUGUUUUUGCAUUGAAGAAAAGGGUGAGUAGCUCACACACAUCUUGAGGAAUGCUGAAUGAUGCAGGGUUCUGUAAUUUAACAAGUCUGUUCCACAACAUUUCAGGCAAAGUAGCUGCAAGAGGGAGAAAGGCCCAUCUGUUUGGAAUGGGGUUAAAUCAGAGUCCAAUUUAUUCAUUUUUACAAGCCAGUACUUUCUACCUUAACUGAGUUUUGCCUGAUUAGACACUGCAUGCAGAGAAUCCAUAAUGGGUAGUGGCUUAUGAUAUAUGGUAAAAACAGAUUUUCCUGCUCCAGCAAAUACAUCAUUAUCCCUAUUUAUGUAUUGGUGCUAGUCAGCAAAAAAAGCUACUUGGUGUGAUUUG
RNAcentral lists this long non-coding RNA (4135 nucleotides) under Strigops habroptila (Kakapo). Its description in RNAcentral is "lncRNA (ENSSHBG00005017577.1)". The record is from RNAcentral. Lineage: Eukaryota; Metazoa; Chordata; Aves; Psittaciformes; Psittacidae.